RNAcentral lists this unclassified non-coding RNA (225 nucleotides) under plant metagenome. RNAcentral describes it as "partial contains small subunit ribosomal RNA, internal transcribed spacer 1, and 5.8S ribosomal RNA". The record is from RNAcentral.
UCUCCGUUGGUGAACCAGCGGAGGGAUCAUUACAGGACUCACAAGUCUCGUACACCCCUGUGAACUCAACUAUAACCACCUUGCUUCGGAGGGUGUCUCAGAGGGGCGUGGCCCGCCCCGAGACGCUAAACCCGCCGGCAGCCUACUAUACUCUGUCUCUUUGCGUUGGCAUCUCGAGAUCAAUCAAACAAGUUAAAACCUUCAACAACGGAUCUCUUGGUUCUG